GAUGAACGCUGACAGAAUGCUUAACACAUGCAAGUCAACUUGAACUUCGGUUUGGGUGGCGGACGGGUGAGUAACGCGUAAAGAACUUGCCUCACAGAUAGGGACAACAUUUGGAAACGAAUGCUAAUACCUGAUAUUAUGAUUUUAGGGCAUCCUAGGAUUAUGAAAGCUAUAUGCGCUGUGAGAGAGCUUUGCGUCCCAUUAGCUAGUUGGAGAGGUAACGGCUCACCAAGGCGAUGAUGGGUAGCCGGCCUGAGAGGGUGAUCGGCCACAAGGGGACUGAGACACGGCCCUUACUCCUACGGGAGGCAGCAGUGGGGAAUAUUGGACAAUGGACCAAGAGUCUGAUCCAGCAAUUCUGUGUGCACGAUGAAGUUUUUCGGAAUGUAAAGUGCUUUCAGUUGGGAAGAAAAAAAUGACGGUACCAACAGAAGAAGUGACGGCUAAAUACGUGCCAGCAGCCGCGGUAAUACGUAUGUCACAAGCGUUAUCCGGAUUUAUUGGGCGUAAAGCGCGUCUAGGUGGUUAUAUAAGUCUGAUGUGAAAAUGCAGGGCUCAACUCUGUAUUGCGUUGGAAACUGUGUAACUAGAGUACUGGAGAGGUAAGCGGAACUACAAGUGUAGAGGUGAAAUUCGUAGAUAUGUGUAGGAAUGCCGAUGGGGAAGCCAGCUUACUGGACAGAUACUGACGCUGAAGCGCGAAAGCGUGGGUAGCAAACAGG
Molecule: ribosomal RNA, 722 nt
Filed under: uncultured Fusobacterium sp.
Lineage: Bacteria; Fusobacteriati; Fusobacteriota; Fusobacteriia; Fusobacteriales; Fusobacteriaceae
Description: bacterial SSU rRNA
Rfam family: Bacterial small subunit ribosomal RNA
Source: RNAcentral